This 69-nucleotide transfer RNA is filed under the name Milionia basalis. Its description in RNAcentral is "tRNA-Cys". Lineage: Eukaryota; Metazoa; Arthropoda; Insecta; Lepidoptera; Geometridae. The record is from RNAcentral.
AACUUUAUAUUCAAAAAAAUGAUAUGAAAUUGCAAAUUUCAAGUUAUAAUUUAAUCAUUAUUAAGGUUU